Molecule: long non-coding RNA, 1096 nt
Organism: Amblyraja radiata (thorny skate)
Lineage: Eukaryota; Metazoa; Chordata; Chondrichthyes; Rajiformes; Rajidae
Exons: 2
Source: RefSeq, a predicted model, not a curated record
GCGCUGACAGUUUGAAAUUGGGCUCCAACGGUAGCGGCUCGAGAAGCUGCUGGGGCCAACGGUUCCGCAGGGGGCUCCUCGACAAACCGAGCCGCCUCAGCACCACACACCGGUUCCCAACCUCACCCUUUCAGCGCACCUUGCCACAACGCGGGCUUCAGUUAGGAACACUUCACGGCGCCUCACUAAAAUCGCCUCCGACUAACACCGACCAGGCAUUGGACUUAAUACGCCGAAUUUGCGUACCUGGCCCACUACUUCGCAGGUUGCAAAUAAUGGAUCCUGACGUACAACUUUGGAACAACCAGCCUAAGAAUGUGUUUCCCUCAAAUGCAAAUAGAAGGGACCAAAGGUGAAUGAAUAACUGCACUCAAUUGCACAAGCAUGCCACAAGAUUGUACAAGGCCUUGAUUGUACAUCAUCCAUAUGUUGCAGUUUGAACACUUGGGUCUAGGGCAUACUGUCACAUCACCCAAAACAAUUCUGAAUUUGAAGGUUAAAAAAACUAGGUGCUAGAAAUCUGAAACAAAAACAGAAAAUACAGGAAACACUCAGCAGACCAGAUUGCAUCUGCGGAAAGAGAAACAGAAUUAACAUUUCAGGUGGAAGACUGAAAUGUUAACUCUUCUGGCAAAUUCAGGAGUGACGAUUCUUCAGUUAAAAAAGUUAACACAUGAACUUUAAAUCCUAAUUCCAUUGCGGGGUGAUUUUCCCGAUUGCAAUUACAAAUCUGGCCCUUUUCUCUUGAUAUUUCAGCUCCGCCAAAUAGUCAUACAGCAUGGAAAAAUGCCCUUUGGUUGCUGACUAAUGUGGCCCAUUUCUGCUAGGCCCACCAGCCUGUGUUUGGCCCAUAUCACUAAACCUUUCCUAUCCAUGUGCCUGUCCAUAUGUCUUAAAUGUUGUUACAACACUUCUCUGGAGGUUUUUCACCCAAUGUGUCUACUUUGGCAAGAGUUUGGUGGUACAACUAAGUUAUAAUCCUGUUAUUUUCCCAAUUGCAAUUAAGAUAUCAGGAAGGAUUGGCUAUAUAUUGAAAUCUUGGCACAUACGAAAUGCAGAACUAUUCAAGUUGGGACAUUGUUGCAAACCUAGGUGA